GAUGAACGCUGGCGGCGUGCCUAAUACAUGCAAGUCGAACGAGGUGCUUGAGUAGCAAUACGAGAGUAUCCUAGUGGCGAACGGGUGAGUAACGCGUUGGUGACCUACCCCAAAGUGUGGGAUAACAGUCCGAAAGGAUUGCUAAUACCGCAUGUGGUCUUCGGGUUUAGAAACCGAUGACGAAAGCAGCAAUGCGCUUUGGGAGGGACCUGCGUCCCAUCAGCAGUUGGUGAGGUAACGGCUCACCAAGGCGACGACGGGUAGGGACCUGAGAGGGUCGACCCCCACAAUGGAACUGAAACACGGUCCAUACACCUACGGGUGGCAGCAGUAGGGAAUAUUGCACAAUGGGCGAAAGCCUGAUGCAGCAACGCCGCGUGCAUGAU
RNAcentral lists this ribosomal RNA (386 nucleotides) under uncultured bacterium. RNAcentral's name for it is "bacterial SSU rRNA". It matches the Rfam family "Bacterial small subunit ribosomal RNA", at positions 28 to 409 of the family's 1533-position model. The record is from RNAcentral.